Paenibacillus sp. Soil522 is the source of this 142-nucleotide non-coding RNA. Lineage: Bacteria; Bacillati; Bacillota; Bacilli; Caryophanales; Paenibacillaceae. The record is from Rfam.
GCGGCAAAUCUCCGGUCUGAGGAACACGAACUUCAUAUAAGGCUAACGUACGUUGGAUGAGACUGCGCAACAAGUCAAAGUCCUUACUGCCGAAGGCGUGCGGGAGUAAAUGGAGCAGAUAGAUGGAGAGGAAGAUAGCGUU